Long non-coding RNA from Patiria miniata (bat star), 416 nucleotides. RefSeq lists it as uncharacterized. The record is from RefSeq and is a predicted model, not a curated record. NCBI's taxonomy places the organism in Eukaryota, Metazoa, Echinodermata, Asteroidea, Valvatida, Asterinidae. The transcript is spliced from 3 exons.
CCUUAUUAACCUGCGGGACAAAUAUGUCAGUCAGAGCAGUAACAUCACAAGUGUGGAUAGUUUCGCAAACUGGGCAGUUGACGGUGACAUUGACACGAUUUCACAUACAUUUUGCACUGGAAACCAAUGGUGGAGGGUUGAUCUGGGGACUACCUAUCGCUUGCAGCGGAUCACCAUAGUUAAUAGAAAGGGAGGACAUGGUCGCCGAUUACAAGGUGCUAUUGUACGAGCUGGAUUGGACGCAGAUCACUCACAGAACGCACCAAUCGGAUCACCAGUCACCUAUGGUCAAGCCUACCCUGGCGGACAGACUCUAGAUUUCGUACCGGACCCUGUAGUCUCUGCUCGGUACGUGAGCGUGGACUUAUACAAUAACUGCUUGUCUCUGGCGGAAUUUAGGCUGGAAGAAGAGGUCA